Long non-coding RNA from Amblyraja radiata (thorny skate), 454 nucleotides. RefSeq lists it as uncharacterized. Lineage: Eukaryota; Metazoa; Chordata; Chondrichthyes; Rajiformes; Rajidae. The transcript is spliced from 2 exons. The record is from RefSeq and is a predicted model, not a curated record.
GCAGAUGUCAGGCAACAGUGUCUCUUGUGAUGGACACUGAUCAGAAAAACAGGUUUCAAGAGAUAGUCCAAGUGAAUUUAAGUCAGGGAGGAAGUUAAUGGUAAAGUUACUGAAAGCAAUCACUGCUGUACAGUUGGGGGGAUGGUGUCAGAAUACAUUUGGAACAAAUGUUUGACAUAACCAACAAAAAACAGGCAUAGCUGGGCCCCAUGUGAGUUUUAACUUGAAGAAUGUAAGAGGAAUCAAAAGAGAAGUCGAGGGCAAGGACAAAUUCCACCAGGCAGAGUAGAGGAGAAACUGAUUUGGUCUCAAGGAUUCUUGUGAUGGAGAGAGAAAGCUUAAAUUGUACUGAAACAAGUUAAUUUCAAACUAAUGUUUAGUUGGUUCACAAUUGUUUAUUCCAGUAAUUAUAGAAACAAGUAAAAUAGUUCAGUUCAAAAGCUUUAAAAAAAAA